This 327-nucleotide unclassified non-coding RNA is filed under the name soil metagenome. RNAcentral describes it as "partial contains 5.8S ribosomal RNA, internal transcribed spacer 2, and large subunit ribosomal RNA". The stretch from base 1 to 120 matches the Rfam family "5.8S ribosomal RNA", at positions 35 to 154 of the family's 154-position model. The record is from RNAcentral.
GAUGAAGAACGUAGCGAAAUGCGAUAAGUAAUGUGAAUUGCAGAAUUCAGUGAAUCAUCGAAUCUUUGAACGCACAUUGCGCCCCUUGGUAUUCCGAGGGGCAUGCCUGUUCGAACGUCAUUUUGACCACUCCCGCUUGCGGGGUCUUGGGCCUUCGCCUCUGGGCGGGCCUUAAAAUCAGUGGCGGUGCCGUCCGGCUCUAAGCGUAGUAAAUCUCCUCGCUAUAGGGUUCCGGAGGGAUGCUGGCCAACAACCCCCAACUUUUAAGGUUGACCUCGGAUCAGGUAGGGAUACCCGCUGAACUUAAGAAUAUCAAUAAGCGGAGGA